RNAcentral lists this ribosomal RNA (456 nucleotides) under uncultured bacterium. Its description in RNAcentral is "bacterial SSU rRNA". It matches the Rfam family "Bacterial small subunit ribosomal RNA", at positions 60 to 507 of the family's 1533-position model. The record is from RNAcentral.
AGUCGAGCGGUAGCACAAAGAGCUGGCUCUCGGGUGACGAGCGGCGGACGGGUGAGUAAUGUCUGGAAAACUGCCUGAUGGAGGGGGAUAACUACUGGAAACGGUAGCUAAUACCGCAUAACGUCCCAAGACCAAAGUGGGGGACCUUCGGGCCUCAUGCCAUCAAAUGUGCCCAGAUGGGAUUAGCUAGUAGGUGGGGUAACGGCUCACCUAGGCAACAAUCUCUAGCUGGUCUGAGAAGAUGACCAGCCACACUGGAACUGAGACACGGUCCAAACUCCUACGGGAGGCAGCAGUGGGGAAUAUUGCACAAUGGGGGAAACCCUGAUGCACCCUUGCCGCGUGUGUGAAGAAGGCCUUCGGGUUGUAAAGCACUUUCAGUGGGGAGGAAAGGGUGGCAGCUAAUACCUUUCACCUGUGACGUUACCCACAGAGGAAGCACCGGCUAACUCCGUG